GAUCAUGGCUCAGGACGAACGCUGGCGGCGUGCUUAACACAUGCAAGUCGAACGGAGCACCCUUGAUUGAGGUUUCGGCCAAAUGAUAGGAAUGCUUAGUGGCGGACUGGUGAGUAACGCGUGAGGAACCUGCCUUUCAGAGGGGGACAACAGUUGGAAACGACUGCUAAUACCGCAUGACGCAUUUUGAUCGCAUGGUCGAAAUGCCAAAGAUUUAUCGCUGAAAAGAUGG
This 232-nucleotide ribosomal RNA is filed under the name uncultured bacterium. Its description in RNAcentral is "partial 16S ribosomal RNA". It matches the Rfam family "Bacterial small subunit ribosomal RNA", at positions 15 to 228 of the family's 1533-position model. The record is from RNAcentral.